Long non-coding RNA from Oncorhynchus masou masou (cherry salmon), 845 nucleotides. RefSeq lists it as uncharacterized. The record is from RefSeq and is a predicted model, not a curated record. The transcript is spliced from 3 exons. Lineage: Eukaryota; Metazoa; Chordata; Actinopteri; Salmoniformes; Salmonidae.
AGCCAGCCUAGUAACAGUGAGGUCGGAUAUGGAGGGUUGCUGAGCCCUGUUCUCUACCGGGGUCCGUCAGCCAGUCCAGCCGGACAGGACUCAGGUCAGGAGACGCAUAGUUAGGACGACAGGAUGAGCUCCACGGCCCCCCGGCCAAGAGGAAAUGUUACAUGGGACGACAUCAGAUCAUCAAGAAAAACAGUGUCCCCGACCCUGAGCAGCCACUCACCCCAAGACGCUCCAGUCGCCUGCGAAACACACACACGCUGCGUGACAACACACACACGCUGCGUGACAACACACACACGCUGCGUGACAACACACACACGCUGCGUGACAACACACACACGCUGCGUGACAACACACACACGGCCCAGAAUGGGGCUGCAGGACAGGUGUGUGUGGUAGGAGACUCCUCCUUAGACCCUGGAGAGGAUAUGCUGCAGGUUCUGGAAGCUCUGGAUCCUGGAGGGAUGAAAUUAACACAUGGGGUAGAGAUGGGGGUAUCUUUAAUCCAGAGAGGGGUAUCCCACGCCUCUGCAGCUCAGCCAAGACCUCCCACAGCCUGACACCAGGACCAGAGGUCGGGGCUAGGGUUGGACUGGGACCAGGUGUGUGUGAGCAUCCAGGGCUGGUUCAGACAGCGGACUGUAAGGACCUGGCUCAGUGCCUGCUGUUCAGUGAAGACUCAGAGGACAGAGAGCAUGCUGGGACGCUUCCACACAGACCUACGGACGCCACACCCCCUCAGAAGAACUGCAGCUCCAGAGGUAGGAAGCGCAUGGCUAGGGGGAGGAGCUCUGAGACCACACCCACAGGAAGAGGAAAUGGUUCCUGCCAGAAUGCUGACUCCC